GAAGUCCAUUGAACCUUAUCAUUUAGAGGAAGGAGAAGUCGUAACAAGGUUUCCGUAGGUGAACUUGCGGAGGGAUCCAUUG
Molecule: ribosomal RNA, 82 nt
Filed under: Anathallis johnsonii
Lineage: Eukaryota; Viridiplantae; Streptophyta; Magnoliopsida; Asparagales; Orchidaceae
Description: partial 18S small subunit ribosomal RNA
Rfam family: Eukaryotic small subunit ribosomal RNA
Source: RNAcentral